This 423-nucleotide unclassified non-coding RNA is filed under the name soil metagenome. Its description in RNAcentral is "partial contains 5.8S ribosomal RNA, internal transcribed spacer 2, and large subunit ribosomal RNA". The stretch from base 1 to 120 matches the Rfam family "5.8S ribosomal RNA", at positions 35 to 154 of the family's 154-position model. The record is from RNAcentral.
GAUGAAGAACGCAGCGAAAUGCGAUAAGUAAUGUGAAUUGCAGAAUUCAGUGAAUCAUCGAAUCUUUGAACGCACCUUGCGCUCCCUGGUAUUCCGGGGAGCACGCCUGUUCGAGUGUCGCGAAAUUCUUCAAGCCUUGGAUGGAUUUUUUUUUGUCUGUCCUUGGGCUUGGUUGUUGGGCUCUGCCGUGUCCUUCAUUGGGACGGCUGGCCUUAAAAGCAUUAGCCGAUCCUCGUGGGGUACUGGUUCUACUCAGCGUGAUAACAAUCUGAUCGUUGAGGACAUCUUCUGGAUGGCCAGUCAUCAUUUGGGUUGCUUCUAAACCGGUUUCGCAGAUUGCUCAAUCUGUGUGCCACUUUUCAGCUUUGACCUCGAAUCAGGUGGGACUACCCGCUGAACUUAAGCAUAUCAAUAAGCGGAGGA